Molecule: long non-coding RNA, 778 nt
Filed under: Heterocephalus glaber (naked mole-rat)
Lineage: Eukaryota; Metazoa; Chordata; Mammalia; Rodentia; Bathyergidae
Description: lncRNA (ENSHGLG00100033666.1)
Source: RNAcentral
AAUGGGUCUCUUAAGAGAUGUACUUUAUUAACCCAUUUAGGCUAAAGGUUGCAAUUUUUUGAAUUUUUAUGUGAAAUUCAUAUAUAUUACCUAAGAGAAAAAUACAAGGAACAAGAAUUUGAAGAGAAGAAUUUAUAUUAUGUGCCAUUGUUUUGCGGUAUUCCAAACCUGGAGUGCUAGGCCGGAAAGGAUGAAGGGGCUCGGCCUGUGGAGAGGAUGCAGGCAUCUGAGGGCAGCUGAUGGCCAAACCCAGACUGCAAACAAACUUGUUACAGGAGUGCAGAUACUGAGCUGUUCUGUUGGUGGCGUUCGGGGUUUCACAGUGGACACUGAACAGUGCCGCUCUCCCAGCACGUGAGGGCCAGGCAGUGGGCAGGCCCCUCCCCGCGGGCUGCAGGAUGCCGCUCUGACCGCAGUCUGGUGCGUGUAAGUAUCUCAGUGUGCUUUUCAUUCGCACCUCCUGAUUACCAUGUAAGGUUGAGCAUAAUUCAAAUCUAUGAAAUGACUUUUUAAAAAUGUAAUGAUGGAAAAUGUUUUCUAUAUUGUGGGUGUCAGGUCUUGUUGCCUUGUAUCUUUUCUCAGUUAAUUGUUUUCAUUCCUUCUGCGGUGUUUUGAUGAAGUUUUUAAGUACUGAGUUUUGGUUUUUAUGCCUUCCUCAUGCACUGCAUCCUUUGUCUUAUUGAACCCACACUGUUUCAGCAGUGCCUUAGGACUCGGGAUUCUGCUCCCCACUGCUGCCUCCACUGAAAAAGUCUAAGCCUCAAUAAAAGCUUCUGGG